RNAcentral lists this long non-coding RNA (25800 nucleotides) under Triticum aestivum (bread wheat). RNAcentral describes it as "long non-coding RNA (TAES_LNC003239)". The record is from RNAcentral. Lineage: Eukaryota; Viridiplantae; Streptophyta; Magnoliopsida; Poales; Poaceae.
CCGAUCGCCGUAGGUCGCCGCGAUGCUCGCCGGCGUGGAGCACCAGGCCGGCGUGCUUCGGGUCCGCGCGAGCGGCUUUAGCUGCCGUUGUGGGCGGAUGCUGAGGGCCGCGGCAGCCUCCACCGCUCCACAGACACGCCUCCAUCCGCACGAUCCUCGCCGUCGUCGAGCUGACCGUCGUCGCCGCCAUCCGAAGCUUCCGUCCCCGAGCUGACCAUACUCGACGGCGACGGAGUCUGUCGUCGCCGAGUUGUGUCUCCUCCGCCGCACACCUUCACGUCCGUCGCAACGGCACGGCCAUUUUCAGGCGAUAGCAUCGCCCCUCGCCUCGGCGCCCACCUCGGCCGCGUCUUCUCCGAGCACGGCGUCCAUGGGCGACGGGACCCUCCUCGUCUUCUCCGACUUAUCGGACACCGGGGAACUCAUGCGCUGCGCGUUCACCCGGAGGCGACGGCGCCAUCCUGCGUGGCGGCACCCUCCACGGCCAUGUCUUCUCCUUGCACGGUGACCAGGCGCUGCCCAUGGGCAACGGGACCAUCCUGGUCGUCUUCUCCGGCCGCUCGGGCGUUCAGAAACUCGUCUGCUGCACAUGACCUCUCGAAGGACAGGUUCAGUUUUAUGUUACUAGCUCAAAACUGAUGGUGAUUCACCUUUUUUUAGCUCAAUCCAUAUGAUGCAAUUUUUGUAUGAUUCAUUUUCUCAGUCAUUCAUGGAUUGCAGAAACUUUUUUACUUUCAUGUGAUGUUAAUUGAACAAUUUUGCAUUGCAUUUUUUUAGAAAUUAUAGUUGAUGGAAAGGCAAAAUAUGCUUUUGCCAUGCAAACACAAAAUAUGUUGCCAUGUUGCCUCAACUUUUGUUGUCCCCAAUUUAAAUUAUUUCUUACCAUGGCAAAAUAUCUAAUAUCUUGCCAUGGAAACACAAAGUAUGUUGCCAUGUUGAAAUCAUGUUUUCAUUGCCAUGGAAAUAGAACAUAGUAUUUUUUGCCAUGUUUCUGAAGUUGUUAGUACUAUUUCCAAGGCAAUUUUAUAGAUGUUGUUCUCAAUAGAGUAAAUUUUGCCAUGGCAAAUUAAACUAAAACUUGCCAUGUGAAUAAAAUUAUUUUUGCCAUGUCAAAUUAAACUAAAACUUGCCAUGUGAAUAAAAGUGUUUUUGCCAUGACAAAUUAAACUAAAACUUGACAUGUGCAUAAAAGUAUUUUGCCAUGGCAAAAAUUAGAGUAAAUUUUGUCAUGGCAAAUUAAAGAAAACUUGCCAUGUGAAUAAAAGUAUUUUUGCCAUGGCAAAAAUAGAGUAAAUUUUGCCACUGCAAAUUAAAAUAAAACUUGCCAUGUGAAUAGAAGUAUUUUUGCCAUGGUAAAAAUAGAGUAAAGUUUGCCAUGGCAAAUUAAACUAAAACUUGCCAUGUGCAUAAAAGUAUUUUUGCCAUGGAAAAAAUUAGAGUAAAUUUUGCCAUGGCAAAUUAAACUAAAACUUGCCAUGUGCAUAGAAGUUGGCAAAACUAGAGUACAUUUUUCCAUGGUAAAUUAAACUAAAAUUUGCCAUGUGCAUAAAAGUAUUUUUUGCAAUGGCAAAAAUAGAGUAAAUUUUGCCAUGAAAAAUUAAAAUAAGAUUUUCCAUGUGAAUUAAAGUAUUUUUGCCAUAGAAAAAUUGUGUAAUUUUUGCUAUGGGAAUUUUCCAGUUUUUGAUUUCCUAGUAUGUGUGCAAUUGCUAGCCUUUUGAAUACUUGGGUCUUUGUGCGUACGCUGGGCCUUUUUUAGCCCACUUUCUUUAAACUGCACGUAUUGACAAGUUACUCGUGAGUGAGGGGUUCGGGCUGGUGCGUUUCUGCACCGAACGAUUCUGUUCGGUAGAGUGUUGUCCCAGAUCCGAACGUUUCGUUCGGUCUGGCGCUUGCCCAGGCCGAACGUUCGGUCCUUAACGAGGUCCAUAAUAAUAAGUAUGUUAUGCAAAAAUUGUUAUUUUGUGUCUUCUUUAACUUUUCUUGCGCCUUUAGUAACUUAGUAUUAUAGACCUAUCUAAUUAGCUCACGGACUAAGCCCAUUCCUAAUUCUAAUCAUCGCAUGCGAGCACUAAUCUCAAUUACAUGCAUGCAGCGUGGCCCGGCACCACUCUUCUAUUUUUUCCUUUUUUUUUUCUCCUCCUUCAUCACAACCCAACCUGCGUCGUUCGUCUUCAUCCUCUGGACCGGCUCAGGCAACGAGCCAGCGCCGCACCCCACUCGCGCCCGACCUCUCCCCUUCUCUCCCUCUCCACCAAACCACUCUGAACGGAUUCCUCACGCCCUCCCUAACUCCUGCUCUUCCGUUACCCGCACUGAAACGCGCCCUAAUGGCCAUUUGAACACCAGAAACAGCCGCUAUGAAGACACCAUAAUUCCGACGACGCCCUACGUCGUUCCAACCUCGCCUCCAUCCUAUAAAAGACCCCCUCCCUCGCAACUCUCUUCUUGCCCGAACCACUCUCCUGAGGGAGAUUAUACCCCUCCCCAACGUCGUGAAUUGCUCACCGAAGUUGCUUGCCACCGCUGCGGUUCAUGGAAGAUUCCGGCGAGUCCAAGGUGAAAGAGACAUUCUAAUUCUUCCAUCCUUCAUAUCUCGACCUUGCGCAUCAUCCUAAAAUGUCGAUUCUUUGGUUUUCUAAGCCGGAGUACGUUGUUCGCGAGUCCUGCAUCAGGCCGGAGCUCCGCCCAACUCCGGCGACGCGCCACGGUCACUGGAGGACGGGCCCGAGCACGUUUUGGUAUCCAACAAGUUUCCCUCGACUUCCACUACUCCGUCCACCUCUCUUUCGUUGCCGAAGACCUCCGCAUCGUCGAGCGAGAGCAUGCUAAGGCUAUGUUCGGUUAUCCCCACCCCCGUCGGGAUAGGGUCGAAACCCCGCCGAUCCCCGUGGGUUUCUCCCCGGCUGGGGUCGGAUCCCGGUCUGGCUUAUAACAGCCUUCGGUUAGACCUGGCCGGGAUUAGUUCCCUCCCAAACCCCGUAGAAAUCGUCGGGAAACGACCCACGCGUCACACCUCGUGGAAGCAAACCUCGUCUCUCUGUCUCUUGCGAAACGGCACGCUCUCUCUCGCCUGACCUCUCUCGUGUCGUGGCGGCGCCGGAGAGUGCAGCAGCAGUGCUAUUGAAUGAGACUGCAGCGGCGUGCUCCCUCCCCCCACCCUCCUCCCACCCACCUGUCCAACUGGCGGCACCGCAUCUCGUUGCAGCGGCAAGCUCGACGGCGACCCGGACCUCACCUAACUGACGGCGGCGACGGCGAACGACGCCAAGGCUUCCAGAUUUGGCGGACGGCGGCCCUCUCCUUCCGACUUCCGUCGGUCCCAGGACCCAGAGGUCCCUCCGCUUCCUCCGUCGGCCGUGCGGGUACGGCCCUGCCUUCCGGCUGUAGUUCGGCGUCCGCGGUGGCGCACUUCCGCUGCUCCGAUUGUCCAGUUCGUAGUCUGGGCGCUAGAAGCCCCAAAAGAUCCAUCUACUGAUCGUAAUUUCAUCUGCUGAUCGUAAUUUCAUCUACUGGUCUACAACUCUGUACAGGGUAAUUUCUCUGCUUUUUUUUUAACAAACCACAAGUUUUUUUUAGCUUCUAAUGGGCAUGCUUCUGAUUCCUACGUCUUGUAAUUGCAAUUGAUUGCUUUCACUAAUGAACAAGACCUGUAUUACUCUUGUUGCGCUGCUCUGAUUUUGUAUACUGCUGUAUACUUCAAAGUGUUUUUGCUGGUGGGUUUAACCGAACAGAGAUUAGGUGAGAGGGAUUAAUCCCUCUAGCGGAAUGAUUCCACGUGGGGGUUGGGUGGCGACACCAAAACCCUGCAGGUAUUAGAUCCACUAGUGGAUAUAAUCUCUUGGAACCGAACAUAGCCUAAGGAAGAAAACGAAGGGGUAUCCUCCGGUAGAAAGAACUGACACGUGGCGAGACAUUUUCUUAUUCCCGUUUCUAUUACAGAAAAUUAGCCCAACUUAGAAAAAUCACAUCUUUUAAACCGCCUAUCCAAAUUUGACAAAUAAGAUAUCCCUGGAUAGCUGUGGACCUCUAGUUUAUAAUAAAAAUUAGAAAUCUCUUUUUUACGCAAACUAAAAUUUCGUUCUGAUUUAAAUGAGAAUUUGAGUAUUUUUACUAUAUAUCUUUUAUUCUGUAAAUGAUAUUAAAAAGUUAUAUAUAUGAAAAUUGGUCCUUGGAACCAUACCAAUCUUCUAGAACUCACAGAAUAAUCUUUCAGUUAGUUUUAGUCAUUGUUUUAGCAAAAUACCCUAAUUUUGAUCUUCUUUGAUCAUCUAGUAAUAAACUCAUUAGACUAAAAUUUGUUUCAUUGUUAAAACCAUUAGAUUGAUCCGUAGAAAACCUCGCUGGUUAGUUUUUGUAAUCAUAAAAAAAUUAGAGUUAGAAAUUAUAAAUUAGCUUUUUAACAUGAACUGUAUGCCAUCCAUAGGAACUGAUCAAAUUGCAUAAACUCGAAUCAUAUGGAUAUACUUGCUAGGGUUGUUUGACUUGAAUUGUGUGUUGGGUGGUUUUGCUUGAGCACUUGUUAUGUGAAUAUUUGAUGUGUCUAGUGUCUUACUUACGUACUUUAUUGUGUUAGAUUGCGACGAGUGCGAAGGCGAAUUUUACGAGGAGAUAGAACCGUGUUGCUGCGAGUUAGAAGGCAAGUUGCAACCUUGACCACAUUUACUCCAUGUUUUUAUCUUGCAUUGAUUUUCAAAUCAAGUAGUAUGCAUGUGUAUGGUUUUUAUGUUACUAUUUUUGCAAAUAUUUUGCUAGUUGUAACGCCCUAGGAUCCAAUGUUAUUGCACUAUAUGCUUAGCCAUGCUUUUAGUUGGGGUGGACCAAAUACCAAAAUUUUGAAAAUACAAACUUGUUCCCUUUGGAAGAAUGAUUUAGAAAAUCUUUUGAAAAAUAAAAUAAUACUAUUUUCAACUUCUACUUCCUGGGCGGAACGGAUGGACGGGGACAUAUACAAGUGAUUGCGCCCAUCAGGGUCUUGCAGUGAAUGCGCUCGAUUGGGGACGUGCACACGGAUUUGUUGGGGACUGUCGUGCAGGAGAAUGAGAUCUUCCAAGUACAGUGUGAAGUAGCUUCAAGUACAUCCACUUGCGCUAUGGGCUCUUGCCUAGCUUAGUACUAAUGGAAAACCCUUACCUCAGGACCGCCAUCAGAGAGAGGCUUUCAUUGCCUAAGUUGCGGGCGGCUUGGUCAGGUAUAGGGGGCUGUUACGAAAAGGUUUCGUCGUAAUUUUCUCCCAGUCAUGCACCGAAGUGUGUUAUGACAAAUGGGGUUGGUUGCGUCAUGUGGGAAAUGUGUACGACCUCGGUAGAGGGUCUAACCUAAUUGAUUAGUUGUGCCCUCAGUUAUGGGCAAUUUUGAACAACUAAAGACUUGGACUGAAGAAGAAUCUCCCUUCUCUUUUCUCAAUGCUAUUUUUUACAAAAGGGUUAGGUGGAAGUUAAACACGAGGGGGUGUUGUAGGAUCGAAAGUAUGUCUAGAGUGGGAUGAUUAGACUACUUGACAAAAUAAAAAUCUAACAUUUUCCCAAUUUUAGUUGUAGGUAGAUUUUAGCAAUUAGCAUAAGUCAAGCAAUCAAUCUACACAUGCAAUUCUAAGAGUGUAGCAGCGGAAAGUAAAACAUUGCAUAUGAAGGUAAAAUGAAGGGUUUGGAGAGUGCAAACGCAAUGGAGACACGGAAAUUUUUUGCGUGGUUCCGAUAAGUGGUGCUAUUGUACAUCCACGUUGAUGGAGACUUCAACUCACGAAGGGUAAGGGUUGCGCGAGUGCACGAAGGGCUCCACCCACGAAGGGUUCAUGAAGAAGCAACCUUGUCUAUCUCAUCAUGGCAGUCGCCCACGAAGGACUUGCCUCACUCGGGUAGAUCUUCAUGAAGUAGGCGAUCUCCUUGCCCUUACAAACUUCUUGGUUCAACUCCACAACUUGAUGGAGGCUCCCAAGCGACACCUAACCAAUCUAGGAGACACCACUUCCCAAAAGGUAAUAGAUGGUCUGUUGAUGAUGAAAUCCUUGCUCUUGUGUCCCCAACACUCAACUCUCUCUCUCACACAGAUUUGGAUAUGGUGGAAAGAUGAUUUGAGUGGAAAGCAACUUGGGGAAGGCUAGAAAUCAAGAUUCUUGUGGUAAGAUUGAAAUAUCUUGAUCUCAACACAUGAGUAGGUGGUUCUUUCUCAGAAAAUGUAUGGUGGAAGUGUAGGCAUAUUCUAAUGGCUCUCUCGAAAAGGGGUGGAGGAGUAUAUAUAGCCUCCACACAAAAUCCAACUGUUACACACAUUUGACCCAUCUCGGCGAGACCGAAUAGCUAAACUCGAUGGGACCGAUUAGUUCAAAAUGUGAACGCUAGGAAUCUCGGUGGGACCGAAUGGAACAACUCGGUGGGACCGAUGUGCUAGGGCUUUAGGGCAAAGCUCAUCUCGGCGGCAUUGAUUGCAUCAAAUCGGUGAGACCGAAGUGAAGCGAUAGGGCAACAAAGAAUUGGUCAAGCCAUCUCGGUGAGACCGAUUGCUAUUUCGGUAAGACCGAAAUAAAUGCAAUUGAUAUCACGGAGUUGGCAAGGCCAUCUCGAUGGGGCCGAGAUCCGUAUCGGUGUGACCAAACUAUUAGGGUUUCUAGUUGUGGUUAUGUCAUAUGAACUCGGUGGCGCCGGAUAGAAAGAAUCAGUGGGGCCAAGUUGGAGUUUAGGGUUUUGACAUAUUUGGAUGGAGAAAGUGGUUGAGAUUUAGGAGAAAUAUCAGUAAGCAUUUGAGCAAGUAAGCCAUUAAGCAACACCUUAUCCCCUUUUAAUAGUAUUGGCUUUCCUAUGGACUCAAUGUGAUUUUGGAUCACUAAAACAAAUAUGAAGAUUCUUAAGCUUUAGCCAAUGUGUGUCCUUAGAAUUUUGAGGGGUCCACAUUUCAAGUCCAUGCCAUGUCAUUCAUUGAACUUCCUGAAAUAAUCAUCAUGAAUGGAUAUUAGUUCAAUGAGCUAUAUGUUGUUAUGAAUUACCAAAACCACCCGGGGAUUAGUUGCACUUUCAAUCUCCCCCUUUUUGGUAAUUGAUGACAACAUAUAGAUCAAAGCUUCGAUAAAUGAUAAUAUAAGUGAAAUGCAUCGUCGUUUUGAGAAGUAUGUGAUAAGCAAGAGCUUUCCCUAAAUUUGUGCAUUAUUUAAAAUUUGCGUUUGAAUGCAAAUGCACAAUCGAUUAGGAUCAUGGGUCACUCUUCCAUGUCGCAUACAUCUUGGUGGAGCGCACAAAAUGAUAAGAGUAGAAUAACAUGCACACAUCACCAAAAAUAAGUGAUUGAUCAUACACAAACAAUCAUAAAGAUAGACAUGUAAGCACACAUUAAGCAUAGUAUGAUCAAACACAUGAUCACACAAGGUAUCUCAUGAGCAUAACACAAAUGUAGCAUCAACCGGAUGAAAGUAGCAAGGCAAAAGACUCUCUCUCUCUCUCGAAGCCUAUGGUCUGUAAACUUUCUCCCCCUUUGGCAAUAAGUUACCAAAAAGUUUGAAAACAUAUAGUGCUAUACGACACUCUAGGCACGAUCUUUGGGAGCUCCUAAAGGGGUCUUCUGGCUUGUUGCUCCAGUGUGCGUAGAUGGCGUUGAGAGAACUAUGUCUGCAAAUACUUCAGCUAAAGUCUGUUGAGCAGGAGGAGUUGAAAAUGGUGGUGGCACUAUAGCAAUGGUGGCAGGAGCAAAGUGAGCAGGCCUCAUGUCUGCAACUGGCUCAGCAGUAGACCUCUGUGCCCUUUGCACUGUCUGGAAUCUUUCUGUGGUAGGUCUGUCAUCUCUAUCCUCAGCAUCAUCUCGCAACUUCUCAACAAUGGUUUGAAUCUCUAUGAUCUUGGCAUCAAGAUUAUACAUCUUGUCUUCAACAAUCCGCUCUAGGCUCUCCUGAUUCUUAGUCAAGUUGGCCAGGCUCUUCUCAAUCCUUAGAGUUGCUUCUACUAGAUAUGUGAGUUGAUCUUGCUUGGUCUUGAGAUUUACAAUUGAUGCAUCUGGAGCACUUGCUACUAUUGCUGUUUUGGCAGCCUUUGCCUUCUCAGACUUCUCCUAGGCCUCAACUUAUGUUGGAUGUGAAGCAUCCAUCACCACUUCAUUAUCAUCAAAUUUUGCCCUAACGGGUAGAUGCUCUCUGUCAAGUAGAUAUGUGCAAGUUCCAACCUUGGAAUUGAUCAACAUCUGAAUAUGUGGUGCAUAUCCACAUGACCUCUUUUAGUCUGCAGCUGUCCUCUUGACUAUCUCAACAAUCAAACUCAUAACCCUGAACUUCUAUGACAUGUCAAAUACAUGCAACAGGUUGAUGGAAUGGCCACGGAUCAUUCUAUCAUCUACGGACUUGGGAAACAAGGUAUGCCUCAAGAUGUAGUUGGUGGUGGCCAAACCAGCAAGCAAGUAGUAUAUAGAACCAAACUUGUGAGUCUCAAGUGUUUUGUCAGGAAUUGGCUUGUACAUAUGAGGCACAGUGUUAUGAUCCAUCCUUGUUUUGCCAUAAGCAUCUAUGUCUUUCUCUCCUUCUAGGACGUUGAUGAGAUCAGCCCACUCCGAGAUCAACUUUGAUACGGGGUUAACCCAGUGUAGGCAGAUCUUUCAUGAUUGGAGUGGAUUCCUUGAAGAACACGACGAACACGAUGAACACGGGGAAGAACGAAGACAAAUCACAAGGAGAAACACUCAAGAACAAGUCCAAUCACACAUUCACUAGACAAUCAAACACACAAGAUCCACAAGGUACAUGAAAAACAAAGGAAAAGAUACAAGGUAAAGUUCAUCUCCAUGAGGAGGUCUUGAUGUUAUCCUAGAUGGAUCUUCCCGUGAGGGGUCUUGAUGAUAUCCCGCAGGAUCUUCUCACAUGGAGGUCAUGAAUUCCAUGGGAGUGGUAGUCUCUCUCUCUCUCUCAAGAGGAGAAGGUAGGAGCAAAGCUCACAUACGAAUGAGCUAUCACUUUGCUAAGCCUAGAAAGGAUGAGGGGGAGGUCUAGUUAUAGUCUAAGCCACGAAGGGGUAAGUGUGAGAGGGGUACAAGGCCAAAGGCCCGGCCGCACACUGGACGAUGUUGGACAUCCGAGAGACGUUGUUCGUCUAGUGGCUCGCAGGGGUCCAGACGUCUGGAGGGCGUCAGGCUUCCAAUGUUUCUUCUCUGGACAGGUGGCACCGGUCAUCCGGUCGGCGUCGGUCGUCCGGGCGGCGUCGGUCGUCUGGUCGCUGGGACUUGUCGAAUGUCCGGUGUUUGUCGGUCGUCCGGGUGCUGUAGAGUGUUGGACAUCCAGUGUUCGUCGAUCGUCCGGUCCCUAUAGUCUCCGCAGCUCCAUCUUAUUCUGUCUUCGCUUCCACGCUUCUCUCGAGGAUGGUGUAGGCGUUCCUUAGCACUUGCACACCUUCUCGUCGUCCGUGAAGUUCCGACAAUACCUAUGCAUGCACACGAGUGGAGUGUCAAGUAGUAUACCAUCCUCGAGGGGGUCAAGUGAGCAUGUGUACAGGAGAUGAUUCACCUUUAUGCAUGUGAAAUAGAUGUCGCACGUGUCACUUGCCAAACGGACUCUUGACAUGGUGAUGACCUUAGGAUGCUCCGCAUCAUCUCCCCCCCCCCCUGGAAAGAUCCGACCUCGGAUCGAAAACCAAAUCACCAUGGGAAAGAGAUGGCUUCGCCGUGUAGAUCUGGACGUUCACCAAACACUCAUCAUCUAGUAGCUUGAAAUGGGCACUCUCCAAUGUCGCACCAUCUUGUGAUUCCUUCAAAAGGAGCAAAUACAACAAACACUUGGAAAAACAAAUGUGGUUAGCGUUAGUGCAAAACCAAGCAUUCAAGAGGUGAUUCACCAAACAAGUGCCAUCAUCAAGUAUAGCAUAUGGUUUGACAAAGGAUUGUGACAUGGCAUGUAAGCACAUCAAUUGAGCACAAGCAAAUAUAUCAUGGGGACAAGCAUGUAAAUGUGAGGUAGUGAUACAAAUAUAUGUGAAAAGAGAAUAAGCAUCAACCUCAAGCGCAUGGCAAGCAUUCACAAAUUGCUCAAUGAAAGGUCUAUGGUAGGCAUAAAAAUUAUUCACAACACCAAAUAAGAUGAUAUAUCUAAACACAUGUGUCAUGUGCAAGACAAUCCAAGCAUAACGUGCAUAGGGUGUAGAGAAUAUAGUGUGGCACUCAACAUGAUAGGAAGAGCAACUGUUCAUCAUGUGUGAGGCAAUCAAGUCAAUCCAAGAAAUGGGACAUGGCAUAUGUGAAGAAAUGAUAUUGGUGCAACCAACCAUAUGAUAGUAGCAAGUAGUCCAAGAAUUGGAUGCAACACACAAGGUGUAUAUCUCAUGGGGCAUGGAAAUGUGGCAAUCUUGGGUGAAAGCAAUAUCUCGAACAUGCGUGCAAAUGGUGCAAGCAACACAUGAAGUAUGAUCCACAAUAUCCAAUCUCAAGAAGGAUGCCACCUUGAAAGCGUGUCCUUGUGCAUUCUUCACAAUGCCAAAGUGGUAGAAAAUGUGGUGUAGAAGCAAGUUGUUGUAGAAUGUAUGAGGCUCGCUCUCAAGAGCUCGAAUGGUCAACUCACGUGAUGUUGUAGUCGACACGAGUCCAAGUAUCCUACACAUGCACAGAAUAAAACAAAGAAUGUAAGCGCAUGGUGGAUAAACACAUCAUCCAUCAUGAUGGUUCUCAUCUCUUGCACAUAAUCAUUAGUAGCACAAGUGCAUGAAGAAUAUGAUUCAACAAUCUUUAUGUUCAUGGCACGAUGCAUAUGGUGCAAAAAAGAAGGACAAGCAUGCUUCACAAGAAAUAUGUCAAAAUCUCCGAUCAUAUGUGAGAAUUCUAUGGGGGAAAUCUCAUUAACAAGACUAUAUGCAUUGUUGCACUCAAUACGUGUCAAAUAAUCUAGCAUGAUAGAGGCAACACAUGGAGAUAUAUGACAAGAAGCAAUAAUAAUCAUGUGCAAAGCAUGUAGAUGGUUGUCAUCAACCGCAUGAAACGUGCAAGUAUGAAUCAUGGGUGAUGCAACAAGGCAAGCAAUCAUAGUAAUCAAGUCAUGCAAACUAGUGAAGCGAAGAUGCAACACACUAGAGUAAAUGAUGGCAAUCAUGUCAUGUGAGCAAAUAAUAGGCAUAGACAAUGCAUAUGACAUAUCGCAAGCAUGAACACAAAGCAAGAUCAUAGUAUCAUCAUAGGACUGGGUCACAAAAGGAACAUGGAAAUAACAAGCAAUAUCUUCACCAAGCUUGCAAAUACACAUACAAGAACUAGAAUCAAUCAUCAUGCGUAAUGCAAAGCAUGGGUCACACAUGCAUGGCAAAGACUUUGGAAUGGGCAUAUCAUGCAAAGUGAACAUGGCAAGAUGGGCAUAGAAAAUGUAAUGGACGAUAACCCAUAACCAUGUGAGGGCCAUGUAGAAGAAUUGUGCGAAGUUGUUGCGCAAUGGGAACGGUGUGAAAUACAAUCCACGUGAUCCCAAGUCAUCGUUGCUCUCUAGAGCUCGUUUUUUCAACUCAUGGGAUUGUGAGGUUGACACCAUGGGUGCGUACAUAAAAAAGACACAAACCAAAGAAAUAGUGUGUGUGGUAAAUGUACACAUUGUCCAUCAUGAUGUGUAUGUGCACAUGUGAGUUAGCACAAGAUAAGCUUCGCUUAAAAAAAAUUGAUGCAUGGUAUAAGAACAUGUCAUCCAUCAUGAAAGAAUAGUUCUUGUGUAUAACAUGAUGGGGACGCAAAUUUAGCAUACAAGUAUAUGGCACAUCAAUAGAAUGUUUAUUCAUGGGGAGCAUAUUGAACACACAAUUAUUGGAAUCAUGGAAUGGAUGGGAUGGAUCAAAAUAUCCAAAAAUGUAUGAGGAAACUAUGUGGGUCUCCUCAUGAGCAAUAUCGGAAACAUCAUAUCGAGAAAAUGGACAACAUCCAAAACAAUGCAUAUCCGAAGCUAGGUAGUCAUGGGAUGGCAUAUGAGAUAAAUGAUGCAAAGGGGCAUAUCAAUAUCAUCGCAAGAAAAACAAAUUCUAAUAACCAUGGGCUUGUCAUCUAUGUCAUAUCUGCAAAUUGGGUUUAUUUUGAUGGCAUAUGCAUAGUCACUACGAUGAGAUUGCAAAUAUGACAUAUGGUUGAUCUCAUGCAUAGCAUAUGACAAGUCAAGUGGAUUAUCAAACAUGAUGUGACCUAGAGAAUUAUCACAAGAAAUCCUAUGUAACAUGGCAUCACAACUAAUAGACUCCACAUGAGGAUCAUCAUACUCAUCAUAAAGGGUCAAAUCAUUGCAUGGGGAAAUCAUUGCAUGGGGCAAUCUCAUUAACAAGACUAUAUGCAUUGUUGCACUCAAUACGUGUCAAAUAAUCUAGCAUGAUAGAGGCAACACAUGGAGAUAUAUGACAAGAAGCAAUAACAAUCAUGUGCAAAGCAUGUAGAUGGUUGUCAUCAACCGCAUGAAACGUGCAAGUAUGAAACAUGGGUGAUGCAACAAGGCAAGCAAUCAUAGUAAUCAAGUCAUGCAAACUAGUGGAGCGAAGAUGCAACACACUAGAGUAAAUGAUGGCAAUCAUGUCAUGUGAGCAAAUAAUAGGCAUAGACAAUGCAUAUGACAUAUCGCAAGCAUGAACACAAAGCAAGAUCAUAGUAUCAUCAUAAGAAUGGGUCACAAAAGAAACAUGGAAAUAACAAGCAAUAUCUUCAUCAAGCUUGCAAAUACACAUAAAAGAAAUAGAAUCAAUCAUCAUGCGUAAUGCAAAGCAUGGGUCACACAUGCAUGGCAAAGGCUUUGGAAUGGGCAUAUCAUGCAAAGUGAACACGACAAGAUGGGCAUAGAAAAUGUAAUGGACAAUAACCCAUAACCAUGUGAGGGCCAUGUAGAAGAAAUGUGCGAAGUUGUUGCACAAUGGGAACGGUGUGAAAUACAAUCCACGUGAUGCCAAGUCAUCGUUGCUCUCUAGAGCUCGUUUUUUCAACUCAUGGGAUUAUGAGGUUGACAUCAUGGGUACGUACACAAAAAAGACACAAACCAAAGAAAUAGUGUGUGUGGUAAAUGUACACAUUGUCCAUCAUGAUGUGUAUGUGCACAUGUGAGUUAGCACAAGAUAAGCUUCGCUUAAAAAAAUUUGAUGCAUGGUACAAGAACAUGUCAUCCAUCAUGAAAGAAUAGUUCUUGUGUAUAAUAUGAUGGGGACGCAAAUUUAGCAUACAAGUAUAUGGCACAUCAAUAGAAUGUUUAUUCAUGGGGAGCAUAUUGAACACACAAUUAUUGGAAUCAUGGAAUGGAUGGGAUGGAUCAAAAUAUCCAAAAAUGUAUGAGGAAACUAUGUGGGUCUCCUCAUGAGCAAUAUCGGAAACAUCAUAUCGAGAAAAUGGACAACAUCCAAAACAAUGCAUAUCCGAAUCUAGGUAGUCAUGGGAUGGCAUAUGAGAUAAAUGAUGCAAAGGGGCAUAUCAAUAUCAUCGCAAGAAAAACAAAUUCUAAUAACCAUGGACUUGUCAUCUAUGUCAUAUCUGCAAAUUGGGUUUAUUUUGAUGGCAUAUGCAUAGUCACUACGAUGAGAUUGCAAAUAUGACAUAUGGUUGAUCUCAUGCAUAGCAUAUGACAAGUCAAAUGGAUUAUCAAACAUGAUGUGACCUAGAGAAUUAUCACAAAAAAUCCUAUGUAACAUGGCAUCACAACUAAUAGACUCCACAUGAGGAUCAUCAUACUCAUCAUAAAGGGUCAAAUCAUUGCAUGGGGAAAUCAUUGCAUGGGGAAAUCUCAUUAACAAGACUAUAUGCAUUGUUGCACUCAAUACGUGUCAAAUAAUCUAGCAUGAUAGAGGCAACACAUGGAGAUAUAUGACAAGAAGCAAUAACAAUCAUGUGCAAAGCAUGUAGAUGAUUGUCAUCAACCGCAUGAAACGUGCAAGUAUGAAUCAUGGGUGAUGCAACAAGGCAAGCAAUCAUAGUAAUCAAGUCAUGAAAACUAGUGGAGCGAAAAUGCAACACACUAGAGUAAAUGAUGGCAAUCAUGUCAUGUGAGCAAAUAAUAGGCAUAGACAAUGCAUAUGACAUAUCGCAAGCAUGAACACAAAGCAAGAUCAUAGUAUCAUCAUAGGAAUGGGUCACAAAAGGAACAUGGAAAUAACAAGCAAUAUCUUCACCAAGCUUGCAAAUACACAUACAAGAACUAGAAUCAAUCAUCAUGCGUAAUGCAAAGCAUGGGUCACACAUGCAUGGCAAAGGCUUUGGAAUGGGCAUAUCAUGCAAAGUGAACAUGGCAAGAUAGGCAUAGAAAAUGUAAUUGACAAUAACCCAUAACCAUGUGAGGGCCAUGUAGAAGAAAUGUGCGAAGUUGUUGCGCAAUGGGAACGGUGUGAAAUACAAUCCACGUGAUCCCAAGUCAUCGUUGCUCUCUAGAGCUCGUUUUUUCAACUCAUGGGAUUGUGAGGUUGACAUCAUGGGUACGUACACAAAAAAGACACAAACCAAAGAAAUAGUAUGUGUGGUAAAUGUACACAUUGUCCAUCAUGAUGUGUAUGUGCACAUGUGAGUUAGCACAAGAUAAGCUUCGCUUAAAAAAAUUUGAUGCAUGGUAUAAGAACAUGUCAUCCAUCAUGAAAGAAUAGUUCUUGUGUAUAACAUGAUGGGGACGCAAAUUUAGCAUACAAGUAUAUGGCACAUCAAUAGAAUGUUUAUUCAUGGGGAGCAUAUUGAACACACAAUUAUUGGAAUCAUGGAAUGGAUGGGAUGGAUCAAAAUAUCCAAAAAUGUAUGAGGAAACUAUGUGGGUCUCCUCAUGAGCAAUAUCGGAAACAUCAUAUCGAGAAAAUGGACAACAUCCAAAACAAUGCAUAUCCGAAGCUAGGUAGUCAUGGGAUGGCAUAUGAGAUAAAUGAUGCAAAGGGGCAUAUCAAUAUCAUCGCAAGAAAAACAAAUUCUAAUAACCAUGGGCUUGUCAUCUAUGUCAUAUGUGCAAAUUGGGUUUAUUUUGAUGGCAUAUGCAUAGUCACUACGAUGAGAUUGCAAAUAUGACAUAUGGUUGAUCUCAUGCAUAGCAUAUGACAAGUCAAGUGGAUUAUCAAACAUGAUGUGACCUAGAGAAUUAUCACAAGAAAUCCUAUGUAACAUGGCAUCACAACUAAUAGACUCCACAUGAGGAUCAUCAUACUCAUCAUAAAGGGUCAAAUCAUUGCAUGGGGAAAUCAUACUAGCAUGAAGCAUGGUACUAGGUGGAUCAACAUCAUGCAAGCAAUCAAUGUCAAGGAUGUCCACUAGUGGGACUAGAGCAUCACCUUCACCUAUGUUACCUUUUCCAUUCCACUCAAGUGGUGUAGGUGAGGUGGGAAAGACCAAAUGCUGGUCAUAUUCAUCUUGAUGGAACCAUGUGGGCGGUGCAUCAUAUUCCACCAUGGCCAUCGUCUUGUCCAAAGGAAGGACGAAGUCGUCGAGUAUCGGCGUGUCAUCAUAUAUGGGACCUACCACCAAAUGAGAGGACACAGUAGAGGUAGAGGUUAGGUCGUUAGAAAUCAAAAUGGCCUCACAUGUCCUAUCAACUAUCACACUCUCUCUAUGUGGUGGCUCACUCACUUCCUCACAAUAGGUGCACUCAAACUCACAUAUGGUGGGGUCACUCAUCUCACUCAAGUGGUGGGGGUUGUGGCUCUCCUCACAUGGGAAUUGGGGCAACUCAUCAUACAUGGGGCUAGUGGUGAAGUCGCUAUCAUUGUCAAUAUGGUGGCACAAGUCACUGAAGUCAUCAUACGUCGUCGUGGUCGAAGGGAAAAUCCCAUGCUCAACCAUCUCAUUAUCGUCGUCGUGGAUGAAGGCCGAAGAUGGCACAUCAUCACUAUCCUCCAUGACCGAAGGGAAAAUACCAUGCUCGAUCAUCUCAUCACCGGCGUCGUGGAUGAAGGCCGAAGAUGGCACAUCAUCACUCUCGCCUCCUAAGAUGGAAGCAUCAUCCUUGCUCGCCACCGUGUCACUCGCCUCCAAAGCAUGUUCCUUCAUUGGCUCCAUAGUCGUAGUCAUCGCCGCACCAUCUUGAAAAAGAGUCGAAGUAGACUCGGCACCAUCAACGCCACAAAGAGGUAUGGUGGUGAAGUUGAACUUGGGAGCAUCGUCUUGGAGCUCGUUGGGCUUGGACAUCUUGGUGGUACUAUCCUCAUGCUCGUUGUCGUAGAGCUUGGUGGCCACGAAGUGUGCUUGGGGUGGAAAAGCCUUUGCCUUCAUGAGUUCUUGUUCCGCCUUGAGAGCACCAAUGUAGUUGUCGUCGAGGGACUUUUAGUUCUCGAGGAAGAUAGUCUUGGAGAUGUCGUUGUUCAAUCCAUCAUGAAGUAUAACUUAAUUGAAAUGGGUUGUCCACGUCAGCUCGUCACAAGGCGUUCUUCAUCUCCUUGAAGUACGCGUCGAUGGACUUGGAUCCUUGGAUGGUGUUCUCCAAUUGGCAUAAAAGUUGUUCCGUGUAGGUGGGAGGCAUGAAGUCUCGCCGCAUAGAUCUCUUCGUCUUGGGCCAACUCAUGUCGUAUCUCUCCAAAGGUGUGUGAAGCCACCAUGUCGACGCGUAGUCGUAUAAGUUUCUUGUGGCGCACUUCACUUGAUCUUUGGGAGGAACUUGAUGUAGCUUGAGGUAGUCGUCCAUCAAGCGCUCCCACUCGAGAUACUCCUCGGGUUCUAGAGUCCCAUAGAAAGGAAUCUCGUGGUCGGUGUCGAGGUCGUAGUAGCUCGUGGAAGUCGCGGACUUGAGCUUGGGGAGCUUCUCUUGAGAUGCUUGUGGGCGAAUAUGCCAUAUGUCCGUAGGCGAAGAUGCCUUGAAGUCGCUUAGCAAAGAUGCCAAGGGAGAUGGUGAAGCCGUAGAGCCGUGGUUGGUGUUGAGCUCUUGACCAUCACGUCCUUGUCGGUGGUGGUGUCGAUACUGAUGUGAUCUUGCCGGAGAUGGUAGCUCAAAAGCAUGUGCACUAGAGCGUCUUCUCGAAGACGAGGAAGACCACUUGUAGGCCUUGAUGAGGGAUUUGAUAUCCUCCAUUUGAGCAUCCAUCUUCGCGUCAAAGUUGUUGUUCGUGGCAUUGAACUCGUUGUUGUUGUUGUUGUAUACCAAAAGAGGUGUGCUUUGCCUAUCCAUCACAAGACUCGAGAAGAAGUGAGUAGGAAAUGAGAUAAAACAAUACCAACUUACCUUUUCCCAAAGUUGAGGAUGUAUCCCGUUUCACUCAAGGUGAAUGAAAGAAUAGUGGAAUUGGUACCGGACUUGUUCACUCACACCUAUCAAGUAAAGCUUAUGGUGGAGCACGUUGAGGAUAGUGGCACAAAAAAUUGAUGCAAAAUGUUAGCAAGAGUUAAUAAUGUUGAAAGAGAUUCACAAAUUCGCAAGUGAAACAAGUAGACCAAUAGCAAUGAAUGGCACACGAGAACGCAUACAUGGAUGGAUAAAUGGGGUCGUGCAACCUAGAAAUGAGCACAAAAUGUGGAGUCCACGGAAAACGCUUGCGUUGCACAACUCAAGAGUGAUGCUAGCACGAUCGCUCAAUAGGCGGAUACGACACUUGUGCACAAGCUAUAAGAUGCAAAAUGGAUAAACUUUCUAUCCCAAGUAUGCUAUAUAUGUAUGAUGUUCCAGUGGUAUAAUCCAAGAUGAUCGGAUAUAACAAUCUUAUGUGCAAUGUGGUAUGAUGCUAUGGCUCUUGCUUACAAGCUUCUUUGCUCACUCUUUUUCUUUUGCUUAAAAUCUUAUUCUUUUUUUUGGAUAUGGCCACUUAUGUGAAAUGCACAAACCAAGAUACCAAUUAUGUAUAUGCGGGAACAAUCUUGUGACACAAGGGAUGGUACUAUGAUACCAAGACGAUACCAAUAUGAUAUGGUAUGUAUGCAAUGGAAGGUGCAGAUCGAUGACCACUAAUGUGCACAAGUAACAUUGUCGGCAAUAUUUAAUGGCUAGUCCUGAUAGGCAAGUGAUGCAAAAUGGGCUAGGGGUUAACAAUGCAAAGGCAAAGGGAAUAUACAAUGAUGUCGUCGAGGUUACCAUCCUUAUGUAUGAUCACAAGCUUGUGGCGAUGAUGAGUGGCGGUGUUCUUGAUGUAGAACCUUUCCUAAUUAGCUGAAACACCUUAGGAAACGGAAAAACCGCAAACUCAAAAUCUGAAAUGUCAAAUAUCAAAUGGUGGUAGUGGAAUGCGGUGGUGGAUUUGCACUCGGCAAUGCAGAAGUGGUGUGAUGGGAUAUGAGAGUCUAGGUUGAAGUGACCGUCCCUAAGUAGCCGAAACACCUUAGGAGACUCAAAUCACUACUCAAGCAACCAUUAAUGCUAUGGUGAACAAAAUGGGUUAGGUUGCAGAAGUCGGUGGUGGCUAUGCGGAUGAUAUGAUGAAAGCCCUAGGAAAAGAUGCCAAAUUUCCAAAAAUUUGAUGGAGUCAAAUUAUGAUGGUGGUAUUUUUGUGGGAUGGGGGAUGUCAAUAGCUUCAAAACGAGCUAAAGACCGUCAAAAUCAGAGUUAAGAUGAAUUAGUUAUGGUCGAAACAAAAAAUCAGCUGAAGUUGCUAACUACAGGUGUCGGACGUCCGAGACUUGUCGGAUGUCCGGUAGUCGGUUGUCCGGAAGGUCCGGAAAUUCGUGAUUUCAGCUUUGUUCGGUGGUUCUGGUCGUCCAGUAAAGGUCGGACUUCCAGUGUCUCGAAGGGCUCCGGACGUCCAGUAAAUGUCGGUCGUCUGGUGGGUCGGGGUCAACUCGAGAUUCGAGAUUCGAGACGCGAUUUUGGGCAGAAAUUGAGGAUUUGGGGGUCAAAAUUGGAGAGAUUUCGUGGAUGGAAAGUGGAGAAACUUGUGGAGAUACUAGAUCCACUCAAAAACAAGCAAAUCCAUGGAUCAAAAUCAACAAAACAUCAUCAAACCAAGAAAUCAUAAAAAAUUGGGGCUAUUUUUUGUGGGGAUUUACGAAAUUUAGGACGAAAUCACACAAAAGAAGACUAGAAAAUGGAGGGAAGGACUCCAAAUACGUGAUCAACAUGGCUCAUGAUACUAUGGUACGGGGAUAACCCGGUGUAGGCCGAUCUUUCACGAUUGGAGUGGGUUCCCUCGGAGAACACAAUGAAUACGAUGAACACGGGGAAGAACGGAGAAAAAUCACAAGGGAAAGCACUCAAGAACAAGUCCAAUCACACAUCCACCAGACAAUCAAACACACAAGAUCCACAAGGUACAUGAACAACAAAGGGAAAUAUACACGGUAAAGUUCAUCUCCAUGAGAAGGUGUUGAUGAUAUCCUAGACGGAUCUUCCCGUGAGGGGUCUUGAUGAUAUCCCGCAGGAUCUUCUCACAUGGAGGUCUUGAACUGCAUGGGAGUGGUAGUCUCUUUCUCUCUCAAGUGGAGAAGGUAGGAGCAAAGCUCACAUACAAAUGAGCUAUCACUUUGCUAACCCUAGAAAGGAUGAGGGGAGGUCUAUUUAUAGUCUAAGCCACGAAGGGGUAAGUGGGAGAGGGGUACAAGGCCAAAGGCCCGGCUGCGCACUGGCCAGCGUCGGAUGUCCGAGAGACAUCGGUCGUCCGGUGUCUCACGGGGUCCGGACGUCCGGAUGGCGUCAAACUUUCGAUUUUUCUUCUCUGCACAGGUGGCACCGGUCGUCCGGUCAGCGUCGGUCGUCCGGUCGCUGGGACUUGUCGGACGCCGGCUGUUCGUCGGUCGUCCAGGCGUUGUAUUGUGUCGGACGUCCGAUAGACUCCACAGCUCCGUCUUCUUCCAUCUUUGCUUCCACGCUUCCCUUGCCGAUGGUGUAGGCAUUCCUUGGCGCUUGCACUCCUUCUCGUCGUCCGUGAAGCUCCAACAAUACCUAUGCAUGCACACGAGUGGAGCGUCAAGUAGUAUACCAUCCUCGAAGGGGUUAAGUGAGCAUGUGUAAAGGAGAUGAUCCACCUUUAUGCAUGUGAAGCAGAUAUCGCAUGUGUCACUUGCCAAACGAACUCUUGACAUGGUAAUGACCUUAGGAUGCUCUGCAUCAAACUUGCUCCUAUGACUUGUUCUGGCUGUCAUUGACAUCAGACAUCUUUGCAAACUGACCUUGUGAAUAGAUAAGUAUAGGUAGAGUAGAUGAGUAUCAUAAAAAGCAGCUUGUUUUGCAAAAAAAUUGAGUCAAAAUCUUAGUUUUAGUUUUCUGUGGAAAGCAUUUCGGAGCUACUGAUAUGAAAAUCUUGGUGACACCAAAGGACAUAACAGAGUCUAAGCAUACAACAUCAGUCGGACCGAGUUGCAGUUCGGUGACUCCGAUAUGCUAGGGUUCACAGAGAAAUCGCUUUCGGUCUCAUCGAUCAGUAUGCUUUGGUCAGACCGAGUUCUACUUAGUGCAAUUGCCAGGGCCAAUCGGUGGGACCUAAAACUCCAUUUCGGUCGGUCCGAGAUGAGCUCGGCGGAAACCUAACCCUAAGAUUUUUCAUCGAAUCUAGUCUAAAGGAUUUUUUGUGUGGAUAGAAGGUUCUCAUUCGUGGCAGGAAUCCAGGCAUUUGACUUUGUGCAAACAAUCAGAAGGGGAAAUAGGCACAAAGCGGUCGAACCAUAGUAUAACUCGAUGACGGUUCUCUACGGCAGCAAUGGCGAAGAGGAAUCCCGUGGACAGCGGCAAUGGCGAAGAGGAAUCUUGUGGACAGCGGCAGAGACCUGCGGCGACGGCGCACAGGCGGAGAUGACGAUGAUCCGGAGACUAAGGGGCAGCAGUGCUGGGGCACGGGCUCGUGCGGUUUGAAGGACUUUUUUUCAAUCGUACGGGUACGUGGAGUAUAUAUACCCAGACAUUGUCAGUGGCACCGAAUCGAAUGUCUCGGUGGCACCGAGAUGCAAAAUUGCAUGCAGUUACUACAACUCGGUGAGACCGAGUCGUUCUACUCGGUAGCACCAAGAUGAAAACCUAGAUCAAUCUAGUGGUUUUGGUGGGACCGAAUAUGAGUGUGUUGGUCUGACCAAAAUUCACAAGAAGGUUUUGGAAGGCAGCCCUUGACGGAUUGGUGGCUCCGAGUGCUCCUCACCCAGAGGGUUCGAAAAAGACUUGUUCAAAGUUUUGUGAUGUAUCAUUAAUAGAGUUUCAGAAGGGAAAAAGCAUCGAUAGCUGGAGGAGGUUCUUAGGCAUUCUUCUCCAUCCAUUUGGCCAAUCAAAACCAGAAAUGGAUGUCCUCGAAGGGGGAAGUUAAGCAACCAACAUGCUCACUCAAUAAGAUAGUAAAUGAAAUAUGUGACAAAGCAUGCACAAACACUUGUAGCAUCUAUCAAGCAAUUGGCGAUGACUAGGUCAUCAAUAUAUGAGUAUAUUGAUUGAGGAGUCAAAUGAGAACAAUUGAUCGUAGGUCAUACUCAUUGUUUAAGCACAAGUGGGGUUACCACUUUUACAUAAAGCAUUGAUGUAUUCACACCAUUAGAGUUGCUUUAGCUCAAUUCUUAGAGCAAAGCUCCCUCGAGAUGUGAUAUCCCUCCUAAGAGGGAUGAACUAACCUUGGGUUUUGUCGAUGAUGACUUCAUAUAGAUGUUGAAGAUGUGGAUGCCCAAUGUUGAUGUAUAUCUCUUGGAGCAAUCCAUUGAAGUGUUGCACUUUCAAUACCUACAUGGGUUAGUCCCACAAGGAACAUACAAGGAUAUCCAUAGACAUAGAGUGAAAAAAUUACAUAAAUGAUGAUGUCCAUGAAAGCACAAGGUUACCUUGUCCCUUGUCUUACAAACAAGAGGGUUUGUGACUCCAUGAACUAGUGCAAGAUAUGAAAGUUGAUUGCACAAGUCCUUGCCAAAAUGAAUAUGUGUGAAGUAUGUUGGCGGAGUCACCCUAAAGAACACUCUAGUUCUUCUUCUUUGGGAUCCACAUCAACUUGAUGGGGAUUCUUGGAGUUGUAGUUGUACUUGAUGAUGUAGAGCUUGACGUAGUCUUGGGAACCCACUUGACCAUGGCCUAGGAGCUUCUUCAAUUGAUUCAAUCUCUUCUUGAAGCUUGUCCUUACCUUUUAUCUUGUGGUCUUGUGGUGGAAGAUCAUCUUGAGCUUGUGUUCCCUUGAAAGAAGUAGGGUCAUACUUAUCUUGUUGACGAACAAGCUUUGUCUUGGGGUAUUGGUCUUCUUCCCACUCAACUCCAUUGGCAUUGAAUUUCCGUUCAAAACCAACACCUUGAUUCUUCCAGUGCCUUCCUUGCUUGCGUACAAUUUCCUCAAAUUGCUUACUUUCUGCAAGGCUCUUGUAAACACCUUUCACUAUAAUUCCCUUCAAUAAGCUAUUUUCUCACUCAAGUAUAACUUGGCUAAGAGAAUCAUUAGUGGAAUCAAGAGAACUACUAGAAGCAACAAUAUUGGAUUUAACAUGAUUAUUUUUACUACUAGAGGAAGAAUCUUUCUAGAUCUUAUUGCUAGAUUUUACUUGUGGCAUAUAAGUAGACAAGAGGAGACGUUUGGCAGGAUAAGAAGAGAUCUUCUUUUGAAAAUCAUCAUUGAUAGCUUUUAGUAACUCAUGCCCUUGCUCUAAAUUUAACUUCUCGAAGCGUAGCUUCUCAUGAGUCCUUUGGAGCUCUCUAUGAUCCUCUAGAGUUGUUUCAUGAGCUAACUUAAGAGUGUUUAGUUCUUUAGUUAGAUGCUCAAUCUCCUUCUUAUCAUUGUCAUUCAUUUCAUCUUGAUUAGCAUGAUUACGAGCCAGUUCAUCAUAGUUUUCAUCAAUAGUGUUGUCAACAAGUAAAUCAUCAUCACCUAGCAUAUCAUCUUCAUCACUAUUCAAAUCAACAUACUCGAGGUGUGAUACCUUAGGGCCUUUAGCCAUGAAGCAUCCUCCAAUUCCUUCAUUUGGUGAGUCAAAUAUUUCGUAGGAGUUGGAUGACAAAAGUGCAAGACCGACAACACCUUCAUCUUGAGUGUAUUCGGAGUCGGAGUGAUAGCUUCUCUCGGAGUAGUUGUCAGAGUCGGAACCAGAUACCCAUUCACCAACGUGAGCUUGAUGUCUUCAUCUUGUAUAGCUCUUUGAUGACUUGUCCUUUCUUUCCGAAUCCUUGCUUCUACUAGAGGGUCUUCAUUCAUAACGAUCAUCUCUACUCCUCUCUCUUGGAGGUGAUUCAUCUCUUCUACUCCUUUUUGGUGAAUCUUCUCUUUUCUUGUAGGAAGCCGUACACUUGGAGUAGUGUACGGGUCUUCCACAACUGUAGCAAUUACGACCACGACUAGAAGAUCUUUUGUCAUUUUAGGACCAUGACUUGGAGCUUCUCUCUUUGCUUCUAUUCUUGUAGAUCUUGUUGAAGUUCUUCACCAUUAAGCUCAAUUGUUUAUUGGAGACUUGCUUCUUGCUUGAUGUUGUAGGAGCAUCACUUGAAUCUUUGUAAGCACCACUUGACUUGUUGUGGAGCUCUUCCUUAUCAUUGAGUGACAUCUCAUGAGCAACAAUUCUACCAAUGACUUCCGUGGGCUUGAGAUCUUUGUAGUUGGCCAUCAUUUGGAUCAAGGUGCACACGGUAUCGUAUUUUCCAUCCAAGGAUCUUGGGAUCUUCUUGAUGAUGAAUUUGUCGGUCAUCUCUUCACUUCCUAAGCCGACAAUCUCAUUUGUGAUGAGAGCAAGCCUAGAAUACAUUUUGGUGACUCCUUCACCAUCCUUCAUCUUGAACUUGUCAAGUUGACUUUGAAGCACAUCCAACUUGGAUUUCUUGACGGACCCGGUACCUUCAUGCAUAUCAAUCAAAGUAUCCCAAAUUUCCUUUGCAUUCUCAAGACAACUGAUUUUGUUGAAUUUCCUUCGCAAGCUUGAGCAUUGUAUUGCAACAUCUUCAUUUCUUCUGUUGUCGCCUCACGAUCCGGCUCUUUUCCAUCCUCAAAGAAAUCACCUUGCAAGCCAAUACGCAUAACAGCCCAAAUAGUAGGGUUACAAGAAUAUGCAUUUUGAUCUUAUGCUUCCAACUAGCAAAAUUAGUACCAUUAAAGUAAGGGCCUCUAUGGUGGUAAUUUCCCUCGCUAGACGCCAUACUCUCCUAGGUUGUGAAACCCACGCUAUGAUCACCAAAGCUAUGAAAAUCAAGGCAAAAGGAGACCAAAGCUCUGAUACCACUUGUAGGAUCGAAAGUAUGUCUAGUGGGGAGUGAUUAGACUACUUGACCAAAUAAAAAUCUAACCUUUUCCCAAUUUUAGUUGUGGGUAGAUUUUAGCAAUUAGCACAAGUCAAGCAAUCAACCUACAGAUGCAAUUGUAAGAGUGUAGCAGCAGAAAGUAAAACAUUGCAUAUGAAGGUAAAGGGAAGGGUUUGGAGAGUGAAAACGCAAUGGAGACACGAAGAUUUUUGGCGUGGUUUCGAUAGAUGGUGCUAUCGUACAUCCACGUUCAUGGAGACUUUAACCCACGAAGGGUAAUGGUUGCGUGAGCCACGGAGGGCUCCACCCAUCAAGGAUCCACGAAGAAGCAACCUUGUCUAUCCCACCAUGGCCAUCGCCCAUGAAGGACUUGCCUCACUUGGUUAGAUGUUCAUGAAGUAGUCGAUCUCCUUGCUCUUACAAACUUCUUGGUUCAACUCCACAACUUGACAAAGGCUCCCAAGCAACACCUAACCAAUCUAGGAGACACCACUCUCCAAAAGGUAAUAGAUGGUGUGUUAAUGAUGGACUCCUUGCUCUUGUGCUUCAAAUGAUAGUCUCCCGAACACUCAACUCUCUCUCACGCAGAUUUGGAUAUGGCGGAAAGAUGAUUUGAGUGGAAAGCAACUUGGGGAAGGCUAGGAAUCAAGAUUCUUGUGGUAGGAUUGGAAUAUCCCGAUCUCAAACAUGAGUAGGUGGUUCUCUCUUAGAAAAUGUACGGUGGAAGUGUAGGCACGUUCUGAUGGCUCUCUCACAUAUGGAGAAGGGGGUGGAGGGGUAUAUAUAGCCUCCACACAAAAUCCAACCGUUACACACAUUUGACCCAUAUCGGUGAGACCGAAUUACUAAACUGGGACCGAUUAGUUCAAAAUGUGAACGUUAGGAAUCUCGGUGUGACCAACUGGACAACUCGGUGGGACCGAUGUGCUAGGGCUUUAGGGAAAACCUCAUCUCGGUGGCGUCGAUUGCAUCAACUUGGUGAGACCGAAGUGAAGCGAUAGGGCAACAAAGAAUUGAUCAAGCCAUCUCGGUGAGACCGAUUGCUAUUUCGGUAAGACCGAAAUAAGUGCAAUUGAUAACAGGGAGUUGGCAAGGCCAUCUCGGUGAGACCAGAUCUAUAUCGGGGUGACCGAACUGUUAGGGUUUUUAGUUGUGGCUAUGUAAUAUGAACUCGGUGCCGAGUUGGAGUUUAGGAUUUUGACAUUUGGAUGGAGAAAGUGGUUGAGGGUUUAGGAGUAAUAUCACUAAGCAUUUGAGCAAGCAAGCUAUUAAGCAACACCUUAUCCCCUUUUACUAGUAUUGGCUUUCCUAUGGACUCAAUGUGAUCUUGGAUCACUAAAACAAAGAUGAAGAGUCUUGAGCUUUAGCCAAUGUGUGUCCUUAGCAUUUUGAGGGGUCCACAUUUCUAGUCCAUGCCAUGCCAUUCAUUGAACUUCCUAAAAUAUUCAUCUUGAAUGGAUAUUAGUUCAAUGAGCUAUAUCUUGUUAUGAAUUACCAAAACCACCCGGGGAUUAGUUGCAUGUUCAGGUGUUUUACUUCAACCUUGCAAGCUUUUUUUGUGAACCUUGGUGCAGAGAUCCAAGUAUUCACUUAAGCUAAGUGAUUUAAACUUACAAAAAAAUUAUUUACCAAUCUAGCAUGAAUAUUUGUUAUCACUUUUGUUGCAACUUGCGAGUACAUUCAAAGUACUACCUGUACAUGUCAUGUGCAGAUGAUGAGUGACGAGAUAGGGCUAUGGAGCUACACUCAACUAGCCUUGUGGCGUUUGAUGGGCUCAGAAUUAUUAGUAUGUUAUUUGCUUUCGCUAUGUAACUCAGCCUUCAGCUAAGAGAGUACUAAUAAAUUGAACUUUG